AGGGCACCACCAGGAGUGGAGCCUGCGGCUUAAUUUGACUCAACACGGGAAAACUCACCCGGCCCGGACACUGGAAGGAUUGACAGAUUGAGAGCUCUUUCUUGAUUCAGUGGGUGGUGGUGCAUAGCCGUUCUUAGUUGGUGGAGUGAUUUGUCUGGUUAAUUCCGAUAACGAACGAGACUCUAGCCUAUUAAAUAGAUCGUUGGCUUACAAACGCCGGCGAGACUUCUUAGAGGGACAGGCGGCGAUUCAGCCGCACGAAACAGAGCAAUAACAGGUCUGUGAUGCCCUUAGAUGUCCGGGGCCGCACGCGCGCUACACUGAAGUGAUCAGCGUGCAUUUUGAAACCUACUCUGUCAAGAGUGGGGAACCCAAUGAACCUUCUUCGUGAUUGGGAUAGGGGAUUGUAAUUAUUCCCCUUGAACGAGGAAUUCCCAGUAAGCGCGAAUCAUAAGUUUGCGCUGAUUACGUCCCUGCCCUUUGUACACACCGCCCGUCGCUACUACCGAUUGAAUGUUU
This 519-nucleotide ribosomal RNA is filed under the name uncultured eukaryote. Its description in RNAcentral is "SSU rRNA". It matches the Rfam family "Eukaryotic small subunit ribosomal RNA", at positions 1161 to 1698 of the family's 1831-position model. The record is from RNAcentral.